This 484-nucleotide ribosomal RNA is filed under the name uncultured bacterium. RNAcentral describes it as "partial 16S ribosomal RNA". It matches the Rfam family "Bacterial small subunit ribosomal RNA", at positions 28 to 507 of the family's 1533-position model. The record is from RNAcentral.
AUUGAACGCUGGCGGCAUGCUUUACACAUGCCAGUCGAACGGCAGCGCGGGCUUCGGCCUGGCGGCGAGUGGCGAACGGGUGAGUAAUGCAUCGGAACGUGCCCAGUAGUGGGGGAUAGCCCGGCGAAAGCCGGAUUAAUACCGCAUACGACCUGAGGGUGAAAGCGGGGGACCGAAAGGCCUCGCGCUAUUGGAGCGGCCGAUGUCGGAUUAGCUAGUUGGUGGGGUAAAGGCUUACCAAGGCGACGAUCCGUAGCUGGUCUGAGAGGACGACCAGCCACACUGGGACUGAGACACGGCCCAGACUCCUACGGGAGGCAGCAGUGGGGAAUUUUGGACAAUGGGGGCAACCCUGAUCCAGCCAUGCCGCGUGCGGGAAGAAGGCCUUCGGGUUGUAAACCGCUUUUGUUCGGGAAGAAAUCCUCUGGGCUAAUACCCUGGGGGGAUGACGGUACCGGAAGAAUAAGCACCGGCUAACUACGUG